This 255-nucleotide ribosomal RNA is filed under the name Staphylococcus epidermidis. RNAcentral's name for it is "partial 16S ribosomal RNA". It matches the Rfam family "Bacterial small subunit ribosomal RNA", at positions 1121 to 1377 of the family's 1533-position model. Lineage: Bacteria; Bacillati; Bacillota; Bacilli; Caryophanales; Staphylococcaceae. The record is from RNAcentral.
GCACUAAGUUGGGCACUCUAAGUUGACUGCCGGUGACAAACCGGAGGAAGGUGGGGAUGACGUCAAAUCAUCAUGCCCCUUAUGAUUUGGGCUACACACGUGCUACAAUGGACAAUACAAAGGGCAGCGAAACUGCGAGGUCAAGCAAAUCCCAUAAAGUUGUUCUCAGUUCGGAUUGUAGUCUGCAACUCGACUAUAUGAAGCUGGAAUCGCUAGUAAUCGUAGAUCAGCAUGCUACGGUGAAUACGUUCCCGG